Molecule: ribosomal RNA, 324 nt
Filed under: uncultured eukaryote
Lineage: Eukaryota
Description: partial 18S ribosomal RNA
Rfam family: Eukaryotic small subunit ribosomal RNA
Source: RNAcentral
CCCUUAGAUGUUCUGGGCCGCACGCGCGCUACACUGAUGCAUUCAACGAGUUUCUUCCUGGUCCGAGAGGAAUGGGUAACCUUUUGAAAGUGCAUCGUGAUAGGGAUAGACUAUUGCAAUUAUUGGUCUUCAACGAGGAAUUCCUAGUAGACGUAGUUCAUCAGACUGCAUCGAUUACGUCCCUGCCCUUUGUACACACCGCCCGUCGCUCCUACCGAUUGAAUGCUCAGGUGAGCCAUUCGGACUUUCAUCAUGCUGGUUUCCAGUUUUGAUGAAGGAAAGUCUUGCGAACCUUAUCAUUGAGAGGAAGGAGAAGUCGUAACA